GUGAUUGCUCCAACUAGACAACAUGAUCCAACAGAAGCAAUUUGCGGUUUCAUUGGCAAUGAUCGCUUCACUAAAUGACAAAAUUCCUCCUCAGUGGCAUUAAAUGCCUUCUUUAUGACAUCAACUGAUAGUCCCCCUUGCUCUGUCGCAUAUUUAUGCAUGAACUGUAAUUGAAACAAACAAUUUAGUGGGAGAAAGAGAGAGAAACACACAAACAGAUAGUUUUGAUGCUUUGAUAAGCAAGUCCAACCCAAAGGUUUGGUAGCAAAACUUAGUCUCGUAACAUUUUCCGUAAUUUUUAUUUCAAAAUUGGGUUUUCUUUUUUUUUUUUUUUUUUUU
This 339-nucleotide unclassified non-coding RNA is filed under the name Hevea brasiliensis (rubber tree). Lineage: Eukaryota; Viridiplantae; Streptophyta; Magnoliopsida; Malpighiales; Euphorbiaceae. The record is from RNAcentral.